Cornus florida is the source of this 2166-nucleotide RNA transcript. RefSeq lists it as uncharacterized. Lineage: Eukaryota; Viridiplantae; Streptophyta; Magnoliopsida; Cornales; Cornaceae. The transcript has 9 exons. The record is from RefSeq and is a predicted model, not a curated record.
AAAAAAAAAAACCGGAGUAUUAAGUUAGGGCAAGUUUCAGACGACACAAUCUGCUUCGACACUCCGCAGGACGCAGCCUCCGCUAUCGCCUCAGGUGACAAGGACACUCUUCUUAGGAUCUCGUGAGGUUAUUUGCCUUGAACUUGAAUCAAAUCAUUGCAUAUUGAGGGCCUCACAAUUGAAAGUUUGCCUAGGGCCUCUCAAAAUAUUGGAAUCUCAGGCCGGCCCUGGAACAAACCAGUGUUGGCGGAGGAGACAACUAAAGAUGGAGGAGGCGAGAAGUUUGUUUAUGGUUGCAAGUUUUGAUGAUUCCCUACACUGUGCUGCAAUUUAUGAAAUCAAAUUUGGUGAUGGAGGGGAAAUCAAAAUUGAUGGUCCUCUGGUGAAAGCGUUUAGUUGCUCUGAAGAGGACCAUUAUUCAUUGGUUGAUUGUGAUAUGGUAGGAUCGCAAAUAUGCUUGGCGGCUUCAUGUGAGCUAUCCGGAGCGUAUAAACGCAAAAUGAUCUCGUUCGAACCCCUCCUUUUCGAUACAGUUACCAAACAGCUCGAUAAGUUGCCAAAGCCACAAGCAAAAAAACCCUUUCCCAAAGUGAUGGCAGUGGGUGGAAGUUUUUAUGUGCUUUCUACAGAUACCCUGUGUUCUGGCUUCCGCAUAAAAUCUCCGUCAUUUGAACGUUUUGAUCCUAUUCAUCGGAAGUGGGAUUCUAUCAUACCUGAGUACCGUGUGCCGGUGAAGACAAGCAAGGCUGUUGUAGGUUACGCAGUCGUCAAUGACAUUAUUCUCAUUUCUGUAGAUGCAACUUAUAAUAGCUCAACUGAAUUCCAUUGUUACAAAGUCGGGAGUUCAAUGGAGAAGUGGCAGGUCGUUGAAAAGGAAGACAGGGAUGUGAGAUAUUAUGCCUUCGUUGGAAAGUCUGAAUUUGUUGACGAUUUCGUAUACACUUUGGUGGAGAAUUGUUUAUUGAUUGCAUACCACGUUACAUUUUCCACUGGAGAUGAUGAUGAUCGUACCAUUAAAUCUCUUGGUGCUCCAGUGAGAAUUGUCGAUACGGACUCUCCAAAGAUACCAUUUGAUCUGUAUGAGUUAUACACCUCGAGUCUUGUUCAUUUGGGAAACAAAAUAUUUUGUGUGGCGAGGACUGAAAUAAAAAGGGUGCCCCCUAAAGUUCAACAUGUUACCAUCAUGAUCUUGAAAGUUUCUGACAGCAUGGAUCCUGUAACGGUGAGUGCAGACUUCUACCCCUUGAAUACGGAGGGUCUUGGUCAGGCAAAUGUACAAUCACUUUUUUUGAACUCCCGGUGGAGUGAAUUUGACUACGAUUCUGAAUGCUGGACAAGUCUUAAGGAUCAGCCUGAGUACCUUGAGGAUUAUUUCUCUGUUAACACGCAUAUGCAGCCAAUGGACAUUGAUCCACCAAAGCUGGAGUCAGUACCUGGGGGCAGUGAAACUGCUAGAAAAAGAGCCGUCAGCUCAGCUUCAGUUUUGGGAAAAAGAACUAAGUAUGUAUUGGUGAAUGAUUUCCUGAAGCCGCUGGGUCUUGAAAAAUAUUCAAAAAUAUUCGAAUAUGAGGAAAUUAGUAUGCACAUUCUUGUACAAAUGACUGAUGAGGAUCUCAAGGAGAUAGGGUUACCAAAGGAUCCAAGAAAGGAGAUACUUUUGGCAUUAAAGUCAGUUUAACAUUUGGAGUUACUAUGUUCCUUGGCUUGUUUGCAUGGAACUCAAUGUUUUGGACUAGAAAAAUGAUAUAAUUAUGGAUAGGGUGUUUGUACCGAGUAAUUUGGCAGCUAUAUAAGCACUUACACUGUGAGAGAGUAUGUUUUUCAACUGGUGUGACUUUGUUCUCAAGGUUUUGGGACUAAAAUUUUCGGUUAUGUUGCUGGAAGUGCUAGUGAGCUUAUCAUUUGUGUAGCCAUUAGAAGAUUGAUUUGAUCAUUAACUUUUUAUCUGGCGUUUGAGAGCUUGUUCAACUUUGGCUAGGUCGGCCCCUCCGUCUCCAUCCUUUUAAACGAUUUUGUACUUUAAACUGUAAUUUUGGGACGAAGGGGAUAGGAACAGUGUUUAAAGGUAUAAGACUAUUCAGUGCCUUACUAAUUCUAGGAGAUUCAUUGGACAUUUACACGGAGAUAAUUGGAUAAUUACAAUCACUUUUCCUAGUUAUUCCCAUA